This 468-nucleotide ribosomal RNA is filed under the name uncultured bacterium. RNAcentral's name for it is "partial 16S ribosomal RNA". It matches the Rfam family "Bacterial small subunit ribosomal RNA", at positions 28 to 507 of the family's 1533-position model. The record is from RNAcentral.
GACGAACGCUGGCGGCGUGCUUAACACAUGCAAGUCGAACGGAAAGGCCCUGCUUUGGUGGGGUGCUCGAGGUGCGAACGGGUGAGUAACACGUGAGUAACCUGUCCUUGACUUUGGGAUAACUUCAUGAAACUGGGGCUAAUACCGGAUAGGAUCUCCUGCUGCAUGGUGGGGGUUGGAAAGUUUCGGCGGUUGGUGAUGGACUGGCGGCUUAUCAGCUUGUUGGUGGGGUAGUGGAUUACCAAGGCUUUGACGGGUAGCCGGGCUGAGAGGGUGACCGGCCACAUUGGGACUGAGCUACGGCACAGCCUCCUACGGGAGGCAGCAGUGCGGAAUAUUGCACAAUGGGAGGAAGCCUGAUGCAGCAACGCAGCGCGCGGGAUGACGGCAUUCGGGUUGUAAACCGCUUUCGCUUGUGACGAAGCGUGAGUGACGGUAAUGGGUAAAGAAGCACCGGCUAACUACGUG